CAGAGAACACAACUAGAGGCCUGUGGGUUACUCUUUCCUGUGAGAAGGUUCUUAGAACUCUUCAAAUGAUUUACUCAGAGUUACAGGGUGACAGGGUAUCGCUGAGCUCAAAUACCAAAUUGAAGAGUGUCUUCUUCGAUGCAAUGCUUUAAACGUGUUAAAACUCAGUUAUGCCCUCAGUUUGCUGAAGAUUCAUUAUUUUUCACUCUGAGCUACCCAGGGAGAAGUGCAGAAGGCAAUUCAGAAGCCCACAGGGUGAAAACGGUGGCUGGGCUCUGCAUUCUCUUUCCUGCUGUGUGAAUCCGUAUUUGCACCUACGAACAGAUGGAGAAGAAAGUGUCUUCCUGAGUUGAGUUUCUGCUGCUGGCUGGCUGAACAUCUGGUACAUAAUAGUAGCUCACAUUCGUUGACCAACAAACAGACUCUGCACUAAGUGCGUUAGUUUAUCAGAGACUACCUAAAAGAUUGAAGUUGUCAAGGAUUUCAUUUUACUUGGCUCCACAAUCAACGCCCAAUGGAAGCAGCAGUCAAGAAAUCAAAUGACUCAUUGCAUUGGGCAAAUCUGCUGCAAAAGACCUCUUUAAAUUGUCCAAAAGCAAAGAUGUCACCUUGAAGACUAAGGUGUGCCUGACCCAAGCCAUGAUAUUUUCAAUUCCUCAUAUGCAUGUGAAAGCUGGACGAUGAAUAAGGAAGACUGAAGAAGAACUGAUGCAUUUGAAUUAUGGUGUUGGUGAAGACUGCCAAAAGCAACAACCUAGUUUCAAUCUGACUCCAUUGUUUUCUCAAAGAGCAAUUGCAUACUUGUAAUUCUACAAAUGAGAAGUAGGCCCUGAUUUAUAUGCCUCCAAGUUUCUCUUCUACAGACUGCAGAUAUGUGAUGGGGCUAAGAAUCAUAGGGCCCUUUUGCUGUUUUUUUUAGCUAGGUGCUGGGGAUACAUCGAUAAACAAGACUCCUGGAGCUUUCAUUCUGGUGUUUCUGGGUGGGAAACAUGAGUACACCUUGGAGCUGUGGUCAGAGGGCAAUCAGCAGCUGUGGUGUUUAGUGGGUGACCCCUCGAAGGCACUGAAUGCGGUGAAUGGCAGAGAACUGACAACAGAGCCUGAGGACCCCUUCAACUGUUGCAGGGAAAUUGCCAUCAUUAAUAACAGAAAUGUCUCCUAGGAUGGGGUGUAUAUUGGAAAGACCCAUACAAGUCAACUCUUUGAAAGACUGUGAUGAUUCAUGAUCUGAGGAAAUUUUAAAAGUCAUCAAGGAUGGGAAGGAGCGAUUUUCGCCACCUUAUCUGCCCUGCCGCCAUUCUCCUCUUUCCUCUGUGAUUUUAUUUCCCUUCUUGUCUGUGGAAAUGCUUGGUAUACUGCUAUCUCCUCUCUUCUUCCUAUCACUUUUCUUUCCCAGGGCACAGCAUGUCCCAGAAUUUUGCUGAUACCUGCUCUGACCCAUUAUGAUUGUGUUUUAGAGUUUAACUCCCAGUGUAGUGUGGUACUUCCUUUAUUUUGUAGUGCCUGUUGAGAGUGGGGGAAGGUGUCUCACUGUGACCACCAUGCCUAGAUGCUGUAACAUUUGUGCCUGGGAGAAUCUGGAAGGUCUGCUCUGGGGCCUACGGGUUUAAAGUCACAGCAGAAAGUCUGGAUCUUUUAUGGAUUCACUAAAAAUGAUUUUUAACUCUUAAUAAUCUCAGUACCAAAGCAUGUGAAUGGUUACUCUUGAAAAUAAAGUCAUCGCGAAGCAGGCAGUCAUGAAAGGGUUAUUAAGGGUUAUUAACCAUCCCAUAAUUGUUGCUUUUCAGAAAAGCCUACUCUUGCUACAUUUUUGUUACAACUUUUACAGCACUUCACCAUGAUUGGUUGAAUCCCCAGGUUUCUUGUCUUCUCUUGUCAGGCACACUGGCUCCGAAUCUACCCACUCUAUGACCUUUCUGGGGUGGCAGUAGUGAGUCGUCACCAUUUUUUCAGGACUGUGGACAAUAUUUUUAGAGCCAUGCACAAAAGCCCAUUCACUAAAAUUAUGUGGACUGUGCAUGCAUCAAAAGACUGAAGAUCCUUCCCUCACUGUUCAUACACAUAUAUGUCACUCCCUAUAAAAGGUGCAAAUCUUCCCUGGUUCAGGGAGCUGGCAGCCUUUGGUCAUGAGACCCUGCCAGUCUCCCAGUUUGCAAACUGUAAAUAAACCUUUCUGUUCUUCCAACCCUGUGUUCGGGUGACUUCAAUUCUCUAAUCUGCUCGACAAGAACCUAUUAGUUGACAGCUUCAAUUGCAAGUGUAUUAAUGUCCUAGAGCUGCCAUAACAAAGCAUCAUAAACUGGGUGGCUUAUAAGACCAGAAAUUUAUUGUCCCACAGUCUGGGAAGCUGGAGUCUGAAAUCAGGGUGUUGGCCACAUUGAUACCUUCAGAGGGCUCUGAGGGAGAAUCUGUUCCAUGCCUUUCUCCUAGCUUCUGGUGGCUCCCAGCAAUCCUUGGAGUUCCUUGGCUUACAAUUUCUGCCUCUGUUGUCAUGUGGAGCCCUGGUGGUGCAGUGGUUAAGAGCUUGGCUGCUAACCAAGAGGUCGGCAGUUUGAAUCCACCAGUCUCUUCUUGAAAACCCUGUGGGGCAGUUCCACUCUGUCCUAUAGGGUCACUAUGGGUUGGAAUUGACUUGAUGGCAACAGGUUUGGUUUUUGUUUUGGGGUAUUGUCACAUGGCUGUUCUCCCUCUGUAUGUGCCUGUGUCUCUUCUCCUCUUUUAUAGGACACCACGCAUAUUGGAUUAGUACCCACCCUAAUCAGUAUGGCCUCCUAUUAACCUAGCUGAUAACAUCUGCAAAGAUCCCAUUUCCAUGCAAGGUCACAUUCACAGGUACCCAGAUAAGGACUUCAACACACCUUUUUGGGGGACACAGCUAAAUCUGUACACUAAAUUAUGUCUAUAAACCAAUAACCCUCAUUCUUCUACGUUCCAAUGUCUUCUGGAGUGGGAGGGGAAGGCAUGAAGUUGCAUUUGUGAACCCAGAAAUGUAUAUAACCUACAGUUUAUCUGUGUACCUACAAGGUAGGGUGUUCACACAUGUGUUUGUUUAUAAUUUUUAGGUAGUGAGGGGUGGGAACUGCAUUAUGAGCUAUUUGGUAAAACCAAAUUAUAUUUGACAAUGAAUCAAGCAACCGUAAGGUGUACAACUCCUCCCCCUCAUGACUACUAAAGUCACUGUGAGUGACACAGAAUUAAAAGUAAUAUCUGUCAUAGUGUACUUAGGUCAAUAUGCAUUGACUGAACACGAUUCAUAAUGAAAUACACAAAUCUAACUCCUCCUACACAUUUUGCUAUUCAGAGACCUGCCCAGACAUUUUGGCCCUACUGAUUAGCAAACAGCGAGUCCUGCUUCUCUUUCUGCCCUCCUUUGCUUCUUUCUUCUUGCUUUCCCACUCAACUUCCUCCCUGCCUCUCUUAGCUCCCUCACCAGACCCCAUCUCUCCUCUUCCCUGAACAAAACGUCUCUCUUCCUACAGCAUGGCUCCAUGCCAGAAAUAAUGGAAAUGGUGGAAAAUUUUCCUGUGAUUAGAGGUGAAGCCAGCAGCAAGGGAUCUUGUCCCUCACUCUCUUCCCCUCUAGACACCCUCCUCCCCAGGCUGAGACCUGAACUGAAUAGAGUGGUGAGCAUCGGGACAGUUGUCUCAUUCCUGAUGCCAGAGAAAACUUCUAUUGUCUCACUCUUAAGCAUGCUGUUUAUGGGCCAGAAUGAGGUUCACAUUUGGAAUUUCCUUACAACAGAGAAGACCUAUUUCUGGAUGAUAGAGCAGCUGUGGAAGAAUUUAUGUCAUGGACCAUGGCGCCAUCUUGUUCUAAGGGCCUGACUACACAUCUGGAUGGGAGAUGAAGGUCUCUUUCCACCUUUCUUUAACACAGUAAAUCUCAUCUGGGCAGCCGAUCAGAGUCACCUGAGGAGCUUGUUAACUAACUACUUAGGACUCGGCCCCACCCAGGAUGGGGUUGUGGGACCUGGGUGGUGUGGGAUGUGGUAGUGGAGAGGAGAGAGGGAGGCAGUGGUACCAAGCGUAGUUUGAAACUUAGCAAAGCUAUUGGACCUUCUCAUUGAUGACCUGCCUUGGGCCACUGGGCCAAAAGAGCUCCUAGAUCUAAUCAUCUAAAGCAGAGGCAAUACAGCUAGAGAUACUAUUUCUGGCUUUAAGACUCUUACUUCUAAAUCAUGGCCUAGUUAAGUCUGACCCUCAGGUUCAGGUGCCAGAGGAAGAGGCCUGGAGUUAUAGCUCUCAGAUUCCUCCUGUCAUGGAUUGAAUUGUGUCCCCCCCAAAUAUGUGUAUCGAUUUAGUGAGACCAUGAUUCCCAGGAUUGUGUGACUGUCCACCAUUUUGUCAUCUGAUGUGAUUUUCCUAUGUGUUGUAACUCCUACUUCUAUGAUGUUAAACAGGUGGGAUAGGUGGCAGUUAUGUUAAUGAGGCAGCACUCCAUCUCCAAGAUUGGAUUGUCUUGAGCCAGCCUCUUCUGAGAUAUAAAAGAAAGACAGUGGUACCUCAUUCCACCAAGAAAGCAGUGCUGGGAGCGGAGUGCAUCCUUUGGACCCCGGGUUCUUGCCGGAGAAGUUCCUAGACCAAGGGAAGAUUGAUGACAAGAACCUUCCUCCGGAGCCGACACAGAGAGAAAGGCUUCUCCUGGAGCUGAUGCCCUGAAUUUGGACUUGUAGCCUACGAGACUGUGCCGGAAUAAAUUUCCCUUUGUUAAAGCCAUCCUCUCGUGGUAUUUCUG
Loxodonta africana (African savanna elephant) is the source of this 4734-nucleotide long non-coding RNA. RefSeq lists it as uncharacterized. The transcript has 8 exons. The record is from RefSeq and is a predicted model, not a curated record. Lineage: Eukaryota; Metazoa; Chordata; Mammalia; Proboscidea; Elephantidae.